This 326-nucleotide ribosomal RNA is filed under the name uncultured eukaryote. RNAcentral describes it as "partial 18S ribosomal RNA". It matches the Rfam family "Eukaryotic small subunit ribosomal RNA", at positions 1470 to 1796 of the family's 1831-position model. The record is from RNAcentral.
CCCUUAGAUGUUCUGGGCUGCACGCGCGCUACACUGAUGCACUCAACGAGUUUACGACCUUGCCCGAUAGGGUUGGGUAAUCUUUUUAAAAUGCAUCGUGAUGGGGAUAGAUUAUUGCAAUUAUUAAUCUUCAACGAGGAAUUCCUAGUAAGCGCGAGUCAUCAGCUCGUGCUGAUUACGUCCCUGCCCUUUGUACACACCGCCCGUCGCUCCUACCGAUUGAGUGCUCAGGUGAAUAAUUCGGACUGCGGCAUUGACCGGUUCCCGAUCGUUGCUGCGGAAAGUUUAGUGAACCUUAUCACUUAGAGGAAGGAGAAGUCGUAACA